CUACAGGUCUCCAGUAUGCCUGGGUAUGAGGUAGCUAUGCAUCCCUACAGUGCUUGUGAGAGCAUUAUGAAACAGUUCGAGGCCUUGCCCUACUCCAUCCAGAGCAAUGUCAUAGAAAUUUCAGGCAAUU
Small nucleolar RNA from Sorex araneus (European shrew), 130 nucleotides. RefSeq annotates it as small nucleolar RNA SNORA9. Lineage: Eukaryota; Metazoa; Chordata; Mammalia; Eulipotyphla; Soricidae. The transcript has a single exon. The record is from RefSeq and is a predicted model, not a curated record.